This 429-nucleotide ribosomal RNA is filed under the name uncultured bacterium. RNAcentral's name for it is "bacterial SSU rRNA". It matches the Rfam family "Bacterial small subunit ribosomal RNA", at positions 355 to 776 of the family's 1533-position model. The record is from RNAcentral.
UGGGGAAUUUUCGACAAUGGGGGGAACCCUGAUCGAGCCAUCUCGCGUGUGGGACGAAGGCCUUCGGGUUGUAAACCACUUUUCUCAACGAAGAAAAGUCUUAGGCUAAUACCUUAAGAUGCUGACGGUAGUUGAGGAAUAAGCACCGGCUAACUACGUGCCAGCAGCCGCGGUAAUACGUAGGGUGCGAGCGUUAAUCGGAAUUACUGGGCGUAAAGGGUGCGCAGGCGGCUUGGAAAGAACGGUGUGAAAUCCCGGGGCUCAACCUCGGAACUGCACUAUUAACUGCCAAGCUAGAGUACGUCAGAGGGGGGUGGAAUUCCGCGUGUAGCAGUGAAAUGCGUAGAUAUGCGGAGGAACACCGAUGGCGAAGGCAGCCCCCUGGGAUGGUACUGACGCUCAGGCACGAAAGCGUGGGUAGCGAACAGG